CCUCUCCUUGCAAUGCAAUGAUUCAGUGCUCUCCGCUCGUGAGGUUAUAUUAACUCUAGGCAGUUCAAAAACAGUACAGGAAUUCCUUUUUGCUGCAAAGGAGAAAAAAAAGAUCAUUUCGGGUAUUUGCUGCAGAGGGAGCUCCAAGGUAUCAGGGGCAUCUUCUUGCAAAAGAAUUGGCUGGAAGAGGUUUACAAACAGCGCUGAUUACUGAUUCUGCAAUUUUUGCUAUGAUAUCUCAAGUGAUCAUGGUAGGAGGCAGUCUUAUAUUUUCCAUUUGGGAAUCUACAUCCUAUGUU
Rosa rugosa (rugosa rose) is the source of this 299-nucleotide long non-coding RNA. RefSeq lists it as uncharacterized. Lineage: Eukaryota; Viridiplantae; Streptophyta; Magnoliopsida; Rosales; Rosaceae. The transcript is spliced from 3 exons. The record is from RefSeq and is a predicted model, not a curated record.